GCAAGUCGAACGGUAAGAGGUGCUUGCACCUCUGAGAGUGGCGAACGGGUGAGUAACACGUAGAUGAUCUACCUUUUAGUUGGGGAUAGCCCAUGGAAACAUGGAGUAAUACCGAAUAAUCUCUUUUAACUUUAGUAAUUAGAGGAAAGCAGCGUUUGCUGUGCUGAAAGAUGAGUCUGCGCACUAUUAGCUAGUUGGUGGGGUAAGAGCCUACCAAGGCAACGAUAGUUAGCCGACCUGAGAGGGUGAUC
RNAcentral lists this ribosomal RNA (251 nucleotides) under uncultured bacterium. RNAcentral's name for it is "partial 16S ribosomal RNA". It matches the Rfam family "Bacterial small subunit ribosomal RNA", at positions 57 to 305 of the family's 1533-position model. The record is from RNAcentral.